This 72-nucleotide transfer RNA is filed under the name Bos taurus (domestic cattle). It matches the Rfam family "tRNA". Rfam says of the family: Transfer RNA (tRNA) molecules are approximately 80 nucleotides in length. Their secondary structure includes four short double-helical elements and three loops (D, anti-codon, and T loops). RNAcentral also lists the same sequence under 5 other names. The record is from Rfam by way of RNAcentral. Lineage: Eukaryota; Metazoa; Chordata; Mammalia; Artiodactyla; Bovidae.
UCCCUAGAAGUUCAAUGGUCAGGACUCCACAUUCUCACUGCUGAGGGCCUGGGUUCAAUCCCUGCUUGGGGA